This 763-nucleotide long non-coding RNA is filed under the name Anas platyrhynchos platyrhynchos (common mallard). RNAcentral's name for it is "lncRNA (ENSAPLG00000017951.1)". Lineage: Eukaryota; Metazoa; Chordata; Aves; Anseriformes; Anatidae. The record is from RNAcentral.
GGAGGGGUCUCCCCUGGCCCAAGCGGAGACUGCAGCCUCUUUCUGUCCUCCUGCAGUCCUGGAGCCCAUGAAGAAUGAUGUGGAGCCCUUGGUGUGUGAAGAGACUGCCCGCACCAUCCGGACUCUGAGGCAGCAUCUCCACUGGCUGCAACGCCCAUGGGAUCCGUGGUACAUGCUGGCGGUGCACUGCUGCUUGCCUCGAAGAUUGUGGCAGGUGCCAAAGCAGAAGCCUGAGCCCCAGAAGAAUCUGGAGGAAACUUCAGAAUCUGAAGACUCCUCCCUGGACUCAUCUCUGUGGAAGAGCACGGACAGCUCAGCCUCAUGCAGACCCUGAGCCCCGAGGACCCCAUCCCCGCCGUGCUACAGGACGUGGAGUGCCUGAAGAGAUGCAUCAGGAACACCAACUUCCACCUGCUCUGGAUCGCACUCAAAGGGCUGGUGGCGAUGCUGGGGAGGCCCAAGAUGGGGCCAACGGGGAUUAUCCUGCUGCCUGACGUCCUGAAAACCCUGCGGUUCGGCAACCCCCACAUCACGGCGGCGGCGCUGGCGGUGUGCUGCAGGGUCCUGCGCGCCCUGAUGAACAAGUCGGCCAGCAUCACUUCCCUGUGGCUGGUCGAUCUGCUCACGCCUUACUUGGACAACGUAAGGGGGGGGGGGGCGAGGCUCCUGCGGCACCCACCCCGUGCCACGGCUGGGCGGGCGAGGAUCACUCAGCCUCCGUCCUCCUCUUCCUCUUCCAGGAGGCCGACAUGGUGCGGGAGAA